AUCCGGCUGUGCCCGAAAGGGAACGGGAACACAGGUGCUGCAUGGCUGUCGUCAGCUCGUGUCGUGAGAUGUUGGGUUAAGUCCCGCAACGAGCGCAACCCUUGUCAUUAGUUGCUACAUUCAGUUGGGCACUCUAAUGAGACUGCCGGUGACAAACCGGAGGAAGGUGGGGAUGACGUCAAGUCCUCAUGGCCCUUAUGGGUAGGGCUUCACACGUAAUACAAUGGCGCGUACAGAGGGUUGCCAAGGAGCGAUCUGGAGCCAAUCCCUAAAAAGCGCGUCGUAGUCCGGAUUGCAGUCUGCAACUCGACUGCAUGAAGUCGGAAUCGCUAGUAAUCGCGGAUCAGCAUGUCGCGGUGAAUACGUUCCCGGGUCUUGUACACACCGCCCGUCACACCAUGGGAGUGGGUUUCACCAGAAGCCGGUCGCCUAACCGCAAGGACGGCGCCGACCACGGUGAGAUUCAUGACUGGGGUGAAGUCGUAACAAGGUAACCGUAA
Molecule: ribosomal RNA, 500 nt
Filed under: uncultured beta proteobacterium
Lineage: Bacteria; Pseudomonadati; Pseudomonadota; Betaproteobacteria
Description: bacterial SSU rRNA
Rfam family: Bacterial small subunit ribosomal RNA
Source: RNAcentral